Molecule: ribosomal RNA, 301 nt
Filed under: uncultured bacterium
Lineage: Bacteria
Description: partial 16S ribosomal RNA
Rfam family: Bacterial small subunit ribosomal RNA
Source: RNAcentral
CAGUCGCCGCGGUAAUACAGAGGGUGCGAGCGUUAAUCGGAUUUACUGGGCGUAAAGUGUGCGUAGGCGGCUUCUUAAGUCGGAUGUGAAAUCCCUGAGCUUAACUUAGGAAUUGCAUUCGAUACUGGGAAGCUAGAGUAUGGGAGAGGAUGGUAGAAUUCCAGGUGUAGCGGUGAAAUGCGUAGAGAUCUGGAGGAAUACCGAUGGCGAAGGCAGCCAUCUGGCCUAAUACUGACGCUGAGGUACGAAAGCAUGGGGAGCAAACAGGAUUAGAUACCCCUGUAGUCCCUGUCUCUUAUAC